UAUUAGCUAGGUACACACUCGGAUGGUUUUUCUGCCUGUUCGAGUCUGUGUGCUGGCCUUUCAGUAUUAAUUUAAAGGGGAGCAAAUAUUUUUGGACUUGGGGCUUUGUGAAAGAAAAAAAGGUGUUAUGUUACGAAACGUAUUCUUUGAUCUCAAUACCAUAAAGUGACUUUCACCACGCCAUAAGGUGGACGCUCAUUUAGGAAGCUGGAUGUCAGCAGAAAAAUAAACAACUUGUGUAGACACAGACCGAAAACAGGAAACAGUCGAAGAACAAAAAACUCUAACUUUUGCCUUUUUUGCCUUUUUUGCCAUAUUCUUGUGUUUUAUUAACGAGUCUAUUUUUCAAGUUACCUGCUACAUACAUAAGGCGAGGGUCUUAAGUGUCUAAUGUUAGUAGGCUUAGCUCGUCUUUCGCCCAUGCACUUCAUUUCUAGAAUCAUGGAAAACUGUGUAUAUUAAACUAUUAUCUUUAGUAUUUCGUUAUUUUAUACAGGUUAACUCUUCGAAUUUAAUAUUAAAACUUUUAAUGGGGACAAUCGUGUCAUUGUAGCCCUCCACUUGGAAGCACACGCCCCAUUUGUGUUACCUCUUUUAGACUCAGCCUUCUCUUAUUAGAACUAUCCUCAGACUAAGCUUUUUUUUACGUAAACCGCAAGGAUACUACUGUUUUGAGCUCACAAGGCGCUUUUAAAAAGAAUUUUUAUUAAAGUACAUGAUGCCCUUACUCGCUUGAGGAUUUUCGAGAGAAAAUUACAAACCUCGAAAAGGCUAUUACUAAUUAUAAAAUUAGGAGUGCUAAUUUAAAGAGAUGCGUUCCAGAAUAAAGGGAAGAAGAGUGAGCCACACAGAACAGACCGGAUGGUGGCUGAGCAUAUGCUUCGCUUAACAGCCAUCAAUGAAACAAGUGUGUUCUCAUAUAUGUUUAAAAGCUAAAGUC
Zophobas morio is the source of this 940-nucleotide long non-coding RNA. RefSeq lists it as uncharacterized. Lineage: Eukaryota; Metazoa; Arthropoda; Insecta; Coleoptera; Tenebrionidae. The record is from RefSeq and is a predicted model, not a curated record. The transcript has 5 exons.